This 19-nucleotide small nuclear RNA is filed under the name Arabidopsis thaliana (thale cress). RNAcentral's name for it is "snRNA_05212". The record is from RNAcentral. Lineage: Eukaryota; Viridiplantae; Streptophyta; Magnoliopsida; Brassicales; Brassicaceae.
GAAAGGGGCGCCAGAGAGG